CAGUCGCCACGGUAACACGUAGGUGACAAGCGUUGUCCGGAAUUAUUGGGCGUAAAGGGCUCGCAGGCGGUUUCUUAAGUCCGAUGUGAAAGCCCCCGGCUCAACCGGGGAGGGUCAUUGGAAACUGGGAAACUUGAGUGCAGAAGAGGAGAGUGGAAUUCCACGUGUAGCGGUGAAAUGCGUAGAGAUGUGGAGGAACACCAGUGGCGAAGGCGACUCUCUGGUCUGUAACUGACGCUGAGGAGCGAAAGCGUGGGGAGCGAACAGGAUUAGAUACCCCCGUAGUCCCUGUUUCUUAUAC
This 301-nucleotide ribosomal RNA is filed under the name uncultured bacterium. RNAcentral's name for it is "partial 16S ribosomal RNA". It matches the Rfam family "Bacterial small subunit ribosomal RNA", at positions 509 to 807 of the family's 1533-position model. The record is from RNAcentral.